This 75-nucleotide transfer RNA is filed under the name Streptomyces globisporus. RNAcentral describes it as "tRNA-Arg-CCG". It matches the Rfam family "tRNA". From Rfam's summary of the family: Transfer RNA (tRNA) molecules are approximately 80 nucleotides in length. Their secondary structure includes four short double-helical elements and three loops (D, anti-codon, and T loops). The record is from RNAcentral. RNAcentral also lists the same sequence under 13 other names. Lineage: Bacteria; Bacillati; Actinomycetota; Actinomycetes; Kitasatosporales; Streptomycetaceae.
GCCCCCGUAGCUCAGGGGAUAGAGCAUCGGCCUCCGGAGCCGGGUGCGCAGGUUCGAAUCCUGCCGGGGGCACCG